AUUGAACGCUGGCGGCAUGCCUUACACAUACAAGUCGAACGGUAACAGGUCUUCGGAUGCUGACGAGUGGCGAACGGGUGAGUAAUACAUCGGAACGUGCCUAGUAGUGGGGGAUAACUACUCGAAAGAGUGGCUAAUACCGCAUGGGAUCUACGGAUGAAAGCAGGGGAUCGCAAGACCUUGUGCUACUAGAGCGGCCGAUGGCAGAUUAGGUAGUUGGUGGGAUAAAAGCUUACCAAGCCGACGAUCUGUAGCUGGUCUGAGAGGACGAUCAGCCACACUGGGACUGAGACACGGCCCAGACUCCUAUGGGAGGCAGCAGUGGGGAAUUUUGGACAAUGGGCGCAAGCCUGAUCCAGCAAUGCCGCGUGCAGGAUGAAGGCCUUCGGGUUAUAAACUGCUUUUGUACGGAACGAAAAGCCCUGGGUUAAUACCCUGGGGUCAUGACGGUACCGUAAGAAUAAGCACCGGCUAACUACGUGCCAGCCGCCGCCGUAA
This 498-nucleotide ribosomal RNA is filed under the name uncultured bacterium. RNAcentral describes it as "partial 16S ribosomal RNA". It matches the Rfam family "Bacterial small subunit ribosomal RNA", at positions 30 to 523 of the family's 1533-position model. The record is from RNAcentral.